ACUCCUACGGGAGGCAGCAGUGGGGAAUAUUGGACAAUGGGCGCAAGCCUGAUCCAGCCAUGCCGCGUGAGUGAUGAAGGCCCUAGGGUUGUAAAGCUCUUUCACCGGUGAAGAUAAUGACGGUAACCGGAGAAGAAGCCCCGGCUAACUUCGUGCCAGCAGCCGCGGUAAUACGAAGGGGGCUAGCGUUGUUCGGAUUUACUGGGCGUAAAGCGCACGUAGGCGGACUAUUAAGUCAGGGGUGAAAUCCCGGGGCUCAACCCCGGAACUGCCUUUGAUACUGGUAGUCUUGAGUUCGAGAGAGGUGAGUGGAAUUCCGAGUGUAGAGGUGAAAUUCGUAGAUAUUCGGAGGAACACCAGUGGCGAAGGCGGCUCACUGGCUCGAUACUGACGCUGAGGUGCGAAAGCGUGGGGAGCAAACAGGAUUAGAUACCCGAGUAGUACCAUGAU
This 450-nucleotide ribosomal RNA is filed under the name uncultured organism. Its description in RNAcentral is "partial 16S ribosomal RNA". It matches the Rfam family "Bacterial small subunit ribosomal RNA", at positions 335 to 801 of the family's 1533-position model. The record is from RNAcentral.